This 117-nucleotide small RNA is filed under the name Marmota monax (woodchuck). Lineage: Eukaryota; Metazoa; Chordata; Mammalia; Rodentia; Sciuridae. The record is from RNAcentral.
GCUGGGUCCCUAGGCAUGUGCCCUUAGUCUCAGCUACUUAGGAGGCUGAGGUAGGAGGAUGGCUUGAGCCCAGGAGUUUGAGAUCAGCCUGGGCCACAUAGUGAGACCUUAUCUCUU